RNAcentral lists this ribosomal RNA (3365 nucleotides) under Trachelomonas volvocinopsis. RNAcentral's name for it is "partial large subunit ribosomal RNA". It matches the Rfam family "Eukaryotic large subunit ribosomal RNA", at positions 33 to 2411 of the family's 3401-position model. The record is from RNAcentral. Lineage: Eukaryota; Euglenozoa; Euglenophyceae; Euglenales; Euglenaceae.
UUUAAGCAUAUCRCUCAGUGGAGGAAAUGCAAGCAACAGCGACUGCUGCAGUAAUGGCGAAUGAAUGGGCAACUGAUGUCAGCCUGAAGUGAAUCCCAACUGCACUCUGUGCAUUCGGCUCUUGUGGGUUUCAGCAGAUGCUGUGGGCAAUGGAGCAGACAGCUAUGUCUUGGUUGGUCAUGCACCAAGGAGUGACCUGGAAUGGUCCACAAGAGAGGGAUACUGUCCCAUAUGGUGCUGUGUGCUGUGGCCAGCCAGGUGUGGCUGUUUGCAUCCAGGAGUAGAGUGGCUUGGGACUGCAGUUUGAAGUGUGAUGUGUAUCCAUCACAAGGAAGCAUACUUGACAUGGGACCGAUAGCGCACAAGUAGAGUGAUUGAAGGAUGCAAAGGACUCUGCAAAGAGAGUUAAAAGUCCCUGAAGCCUCAACAGGGCCGGUGGAGAUUGAUGCUGUGACUGUCUGGAUAGCCCCAUGAGCCAGCUGGGUGGUGUGACCCUGUAAGCACUCGAGCAGGCCCACCUCACAGUUGAGCCAGGUCUUUCCUUGUCUGCCCAAGCAACCCUGGGCCAACCACCAGGUUGAUCACUGAGCCCCACCCCCAAGGGUAGGAGGACCAUCUUGACAGCCUGUGGUGUCACUCUGUGUGUCAGGGCCUGGGGCUUGUGAUGUGAUGAACCCAAGUGUUAUGGCAAACCGAGCAGGGCAGACUGAGGGUAGGGUGCAAAGCAGCCCCACUUGGGGUGCACCAGGCCUGUCACCAAACAGGCACCCAGGUCUUGUCCUGACUCCCACCAGAAUGAGAGUGUCUGAGCCUGGUGUGUCUUCGGACAUGCCAGUGGCUGUGGUGCCUCUGGUUUGGGGCUGGUGGAUGCUUGGUGGCUGCACUGCAUUGUGUGGUGGCUCCAGGUGACUGCUGGCCUUCCAGUCGGUGCCUAAGCCAGACGGCAGCUGAGCUUGGUACAGCAGUGCCACUCUCUGCCCGUCUUGAAACACGGACCAAGGAGUCUAUGGAGCUUGCAGGUUUGAAGGUGCUAUCAACAAACCACAGAGCAUGGUGAAGGCAAUUCUCAUCCCAGAUGGUGCAGUGGCUCUCUUCUCAAUGGACUGGUUGAAGCUGGUGUGGGGUGAUCAGGCACCCAACUGGGGUGGACAUGUGGAAUGUCUGUGUCCCACCCCUGGCUUGGUGUGCUCCCCCACACAGCCCACGGUCUUGAAGCCUACUGUCAGUUGGAUUGCUGCAUGGGACCCCGGUCUUGUGUCCAUUGGACUGAGUUCUGAGUGAUUGCAAGGUCCAUGGGACCCGAAAGGUGGUGAACUAUACCAUUCUAUGGUGAAGCCGUGGGAAACUGCGGUGGAAGCCAGUCGCUGUUCUGACGUGCAAAUUGUGUAGCCUGAGCAUGGCAUAGGGGUGAAAGGCCAAUCGAGCCACCUAGUAGCUGGUUUCCCUCGAAGUUUCCCUCAGGAUAGCUGGGCUCAGAUGCAGAGUCAACCCAAGUGAUUAUGUCCGGUAAAGCAACGCAUGAGAGGCAAUCUCUGGGCAGGCUCCCCUGCUCAACCUAUUCUCGAACUGUGAAUGGGCAUGGCAACAGCCCUUCAAGCAUGCUUCUUCACUGUGCUGGAGUCCACCUGGUGGUUCUCCUUGGCUUCUGAGCGUGUUGUCUGGUGGUUCAAUGGCCACCAACCCUGUGUGCUAUCUCUCUGUGAGGCCACAUGGGUAUGAUCAUGUAUCAAUGGGGAUUGCUAUGCUGUCUCUGUCAAUCCAAAGGCCAUUGUGCUGCCAAGUUGAACAGAUGUGCCUAUGUGGACCAAGAUUGGUAAGCAGUGCUGGUGAUGCGGGGUGCUCCGAGAGUGGACUUACAGAACCCGAGUGCUGGCUCAUACCCAGAUCCCACAAAGGAUGUUGUCUACUAGAGAUAGCAGGACGGUGGCCAUGAAGGUUGGAACCCGCUAAGGAAUGUGUAACAACUCACCUGCCGAAGUGUGCAGCUCCGAAAAUGGAUGGUGCCCAAGUCAGUGAAGCUAACUUUGCCUUACAGUCCUCCGCUGCUGUGGGCAGCCAAGCAGAGCAUCAGCCGUGUAGAAAGGACAUGGGAGAUUGCUGUUCAAGCUGGGGUUGCCCCUGGCUGGAGUGUCUUCUGGAGCAGAUCUUGGUUGUAGUAGCAAAUACUCCAUCGAGUGAAGAGCAGUACAAGCCUUGCUGUGUGCGGUUGAGGACAGGAGUGGAGCAGGUUUCCACACCAAACAUCCGUUGAAUGUGGGUCAGCCGGCCGUGAGCCAAGUGGUAAGUUCACCCAACAACCAAAGCUGCCGUUCCCUUGGGCAUGGAGUCUCUGUGGAAGGGAUUCAUUGUGUGAUGCAGAGCCCCAGUGCUCAACCCUCAGCAGGACUCUGACUCAAAGGUGUUUGGCAGGAGUGGCAAACAGGCAAGCAAGUGCAACAUUCUGCUGUGAUGGGCUUGGAGCCUUUGGGGGUGACCUCCUGUGACUGGAGCAAGCAGGCUCAGAGGCAGUGCACCCCCUGUGGAGUUCUCGUUUCCUCCUGAUGCAGGUUCAUGUGGGCUAUUGAUCACAUCUCAGGGUGGAGGGAUAGCUCUCCACCCAGCAAGGCAGUGUGCUCUUGACACUGGUGGCAUUGUUGUGAUAUCCAGUCAGGCAGGUGCUCCUCACAGAGUCACUUGACCAAGUCAACCAUGGAAUCUCAGCCAAUGGCAGUCACUGGUAGUCCAAUGAACGGCCUGUGGGACAGUGUGCUCCUGGUCCCUUGUUGUCGUACUGAAUCACCGCAGCCGGUCUCCUCGGCUCGACGCCGCUUGUUGACGGACUGAAUGCAGCUAAGGGAAGUCGGCAAACUGGCCAUGUACCUUUGGAAGAUGUGGUGGCUCCAGAGGCCAAGUCGUAGGGCCCUGUUGCAGGCCAGGUUGGCUGGGUCAGUGGUGUCACCAGUGUGGUGGCUUCGGUCAUUGCUCUGCCGUGCCCACCUCCAACUGCCUGGCUCUUAGCAGCAGGGGGCCAGUCCAGCCUUCGGGCUGUCUGUGCCCACCCCUGUGUCUAUCAAGUGGCUCAUGUGGAACUGUUGCUGUGCAGGGGAAUCUGACUGUUUAAUUGAAACCCAGCUUUGUGAUGGGAUCAGCUGGCUGAUGCCAUGAGGUGACUUCUGCCCAGUGCUCUGAUUGUCAAUGCGAAGAGAUUCAGCCAAGCGCGGGUAAACGGCGGGAGUAACUAUGACUCUCUUAAGGUAGCCAAAUGCCUCGUCAACCAAUUAUUGACGCGCAUGAAUGGAUCAACGAGAUUCCUGCUGUCCCUAGUUGCUGUCUGGUGAACCAACAGCCAAGGGAACGGGCUUGGGUGUGUCAGCGGGGAAAGAAGA